CCUCCCGACAUCCUUCCGACACAUCCGAUGUGACAUCCAAAAAAAUUUCAUCUCCAAUCUAAACAGGGCCUUAUUGAGAUACAACACUUUUUGAGAUACAACACUUUUUGAAAUCCAUUGUGAGGUUGUGCUAUGCCAAAUUAUUUGAAUUGAAUGCAGGCAUGUCUCACGACUUAUUGAGAUACAACACUUUUAUUUAUGACUUAGACUUGUUUUCAUACAGCGUGGAUGAAAUAUAAUUAAAGGAUUUUCAAUGGUGCCUUCUCAGCUAAAUAAACAAAAUAAAAAGAACAUAAGAGCAUCUUGACUUUUUGGCAAGAUUGAAAAAAAAACUACUCUCCAAUGACUCUCUAUCUCAACUCUCAAUCUUGUGGUCCUGCCGCACUCGAAAAAUCCACCUAGCAUGGACAGAUAAAUAUGGGUGUAUGUCCAUCGGUGAAUUAGAAGGUGAAAGCAGUAGCAAAGCCAAAAGCUUUUAUGAGCGCGG
RNAcentral lists this long non-coding RNA (487 nucleotides) under Sorghum bicolor (sorghum). RNAcentral describes it as "long non-coding RNA (SBIC_LNC016983)". The record is from RNAcentral. Lineage: Eukaryota; Viridiplantae; Streptophyta; Magnoliopsida; Poales; Poaceae.